CGUAAAAAAAUUCUCCCAUGUUUGAUUUCGGUUCUCGUAUUUAUAAUGGGAGGGGUGGUGAGAGAUAUUUUGAGGGAUUCUAAAUUCGAAUUUAAAUUUUGAAUAGGUUGUUGGAUGGUUGGAGGAUUUUUGGGAAUUGGUUGGAGAUUCGAAAUUCGAAAUCGAAUUUUGAAUCGGUUGUUGGAUGGUUGAAGGAUAUUUUGGAGAGUCGGUUAGGGAUUCAAAAUUCAAAAUCGAAUUUUGAAUCGGUUGUUAGGUAGUUAGGUAUUCAAAAUUCGAAUGGAUGUUGGUUGGGGAUUCGAAAUUCAAAAUUGAAUUUUGAAUGGGUUGUGGGAUGGAUAGGUAUUCAAAAUUCAAAUGAAUGUUGGUUGAGAGAUAUUUUGGGAGUUGGUUCGAAGUUCGAAAUCGAAUUUCGAAUAGGGUUAUUAGGAUAACAGAUAUUUUCUUGGGGUUUAAAAAUUUAAAAUCGAAUUUGAAUAUGAUAUUCGAAAUUGAAUUUUCAAACGUGGGUGAAAAUGUGGGCCGUGAUCCCAUGAAUUGAGCUAAAAUU
RNAcentral lists this long non-coding RNA (550 nucleotides) under Ananas comosus (pineapple). Its description in RNAcentral is "long non-coding RNA (ACOM_LNC001074)". The record is from RNAcentral. Lineage: Eukaryota; Viridiplantae; Streptophyta; Magnoliopsida; Poales; Bromeliaceae.